RNAcentral lists this long non-coding RNA (15817 nucleotides) under Nicotiana benthamiana. Its description in RNAcentral is "long non-coding RNA (NBEN_LNC036523)". The record is from RNAcentral. Lineage: Eukaryota; Viridiplantae; Streptophyta; Magnoliopsida; Solanales; Solanaceae.
AAAAACAGAAGCUCGGUUUUCUUCUCUCAUCUCUCCUCUCAUCCCCAAGCUCCUCUCUUCCUCUCGUCCUUCUCCCCCGUCCCCAAGCUUGCAUGUUUGCUCUCUCUCGUUUCCUCCUCCCUUCUUCGUGUCCUUACUCCUCCCUUUUCCCCAUAAUUUAUCAAUUUUUUAUCCUGUUUUGCAGUAGCUAGCGUGGUUGGUGGCGACGGCGGCAGCAGCUCCUCAAUCGACUUCUCCGGUAUUCUUACUGUCAAGGUAAGUAUUUCGUUGAACCACAUUAAGUAUUAAGAAUCUCAUUGCUUGAUUGAUAUUAGAUUUUUUUUAGUAAUAAUUGUGAAAAUUAUCAUAAACAAAAAUAAUAUACCUAUAGAGCACCUAAGAAACCAAUUUAGCUGCUUAGGCCUCUUCCAACAGCUAAUUACACAAUGUUUGAAACAAAAAACUACAUCUAUGAGAUUUGUUGGAUCCUUUUAAUAAAUCUACUCUUAUAUAAAUAUAUUGUUUUUAUUAUUAAAUUUGUAAUAGUUUUUAUAUAUGAACAUCCUAAUUAGUUGAAGUAGUUAUGGUUAAAAUCCCUAAGGAUUUUAACUUUUUAAUGAUACUUAAUGUGAUGAUAAGUAUAAAGCCCCAAUUUAAAGAUUGAAAACUCCUUUAAAUUAUAAUUGACUACUAUUACCUUUAUUGAAUGUUAAAGUUUAGCCCCACUAUAAUUUAUUGCUACUGUGAGUUGUUCUCAACUGAAGGCUUUUUACCUCUUAGCUGAGGACCUUUGGUUUGCUUUUUCAGCAAGCUUGUUCCAUCGGUUAGAAAGGAAUCAACUUAUAUAAAUCGACUUUUAAAAAAAGAAAUAGCUGAGGAAAGCAGUAAAAUUGCAAGUUCAACGUGUAAGUUCAUGGGAGUGUUCAUGAAAUUGCAUAUUAGUAUUAUUUAUGUAAUUUUUUAUUAAGAAUCACAAUUGACUGUUAUUUAAUAUGAAAUUGUAUUUAUUUUAUCUUUUUUUCGAUAAUCAUAUAGACUCUUGUCCAUAAAUAAAAUAUUAAGCAGUAGAGUUUUCCUCCCUUCAAAGUUUCCUAUUUAAAGUUUUUCUUUUCAUUUUCCUUUUCGGAUUUUUUCAUUUUCUGAUAUGAUAAUCUUGGAAUUAAGUAGGUUAAUUUAAUAUGAUGAUUUUAUAAAAGUAAUGGAAGUAUAAGUGCAAUUUAUUGGAUUAGUUUAGUUAUAUGGCAUAUACUGACAUGGAAGACAUAUGAAAUGAAGCAGUGACCAUAUAUCUCUGCAACCAUUACUUCUACUUUGCAAGAUAUAUGUACCCAUUGAGGAAUACUUUAUACAUUAGACUUAUAAUAUGUGAAUUUUUAAAGUAUUUAUCAUGAUUCAUGUAGGCAGAAUAUAUAGGUGAACCUGUCACGACUCAAAAUCUAUUAUUCGUGAUGACACCUAAUUCAAUUCGCUAGUUAAGCUAAUUAAUAAUUAUCCAAUAUCAAUAAUAUUAGAAAGAAAAUUAAACAAAGAAAUUAUCUGAAUCUUAUACCUUUCCUAAUGAUUAGUAAUACAAAUCAUGAGCUUCUAAGAAUAAAAUUUACAAAGCUAAUAUGAAGUAAAUACAUCUUCUUCUUCAAAAAUACAUGAACACAGUUUUCAUAAAUGUACGACUAUCAUGAAUUAGAGGCAGCUAUAGCCAAAACACAUGUACAUCUUCAAAUCCAACAACCAUUGAAUACAACAAAAAUAACAUCUAACAUUUGCAGGCAAUGUGCAGAAAUAUAGUAUCACUACAACCGACCUCAUGUACAGGUAAGUAACAAACCUAACUUUAGGUUGAAAGUAGUGAUGAGUUCUAACAAAGGUCGGGUCCAUAUCGCGACCCGGAUUUCCCACCCUCGAGAGUCGUGAUGGUACCUAUUAGUAAAAGCUAGGCAAGCCAACCAUUUGAAUUAUUUACCUUUUUCCCUUUUUUUAAUCCUUUAACAAUUAAGAACCAACAUUUUAUAAAUAACAUAAUUUAAUUAGCGGAAGACUGAAAUGUAAUACUUUAUUAAAGAUGCCAAUACCAAUCUAUACAUAAACUAUCCAAAACUGGUGGCAUAAUUUUACAGACUGUCUAAGAAUACUACAAAGAAGGUUUGAAAAACAAAUACAAUAUUAUCUCUGAAAUAUAUAAAUGAAACAGGAUGAAAGGAUAGAAAGAGAUGCCAAGGCCUGCGGACUACCUCGGAUCUCCGAAUAGACUGAAAGCAACAAUCCAAAGUUAAGGUCUGUAUGCUCCAAUAGCGGGAUCUGCACAUAGUGAAGAGUGUAGUAUCAACACAACUGACUCCAUGUGCUGGUAAGUGCCUAGCUUAACCUCGGCGAAGUAGUGACGAGGCUAGAACCAGACUAACAAAUAAACUUGUAUAGUUAAAUCAUAUAUAGUGGAAAGUAAAAAGCAGAUAUUUAUAGUUAAAGAUAAGGAGGGGAAAACAUGUUACAAGGAGUAUCAGAUAACAACAAAAUACCAAAGAGAAAUGUAAAGAAACAAUAAUUAGCUGCCAACAAUAAUGAAGAAAACACGCACACUAUUUAAUUUCAUUUCUUUCUUGUUGCAUGCAUACAACCCGACCCCAUUUCAUACAUUUCGUUGCAGGCAUGCAACAUGCUCCCAUUUCAUAUAUCUCAUUGCAGACGUGCAAUCGGCUCCCAUUUUGUAUAUCUCGUUGUAGACCUAUUUCAUAUAUUUUUCGUUGCAGGCAUGCAACCCGCUCCUAUUUUAUAUAUCUCAUUGCAGGCGUGUAACCUACUCCCAUUUAUAUAUUUCCCUGGCGGUGUGCUACCCGAUCCCAUUUACAAAUCAAUAUCAAUCAUAAAAGAAAUUCGACAACAGGACAAGAGUAUAACAACAACAUCCGGGUAAGGGAGGCAAUAUCAUAAAUAAUAACAUCCUGGCAAGGGAGACAACCAUAACCAGUAAUAUCCCAGCAAGGGAGACAAUAUCAUAAGCAAUAGCAUCCCGACAAGGGAGUCAAAAAUGAUAAUCAACAUGUUAUACAUGAAAAUCUUAGUGGAGUGACAACAUUUACAACACUAGACCUACGAGCAUGCUUGAAUCCGACGUAUAGAUACUCGUCACCAUGCCUAUGCGUCGUACUCCAUAAUUAACACAUAACAAUAAGACAUAACUCCUAAUUUCUCAAGCUAAGGUUAGACCAAGCACUUACAUCGAACUUCCUCGGAUAACUCAAGCCUCAAACACGCUUUUCCUUUAAAAUUCGCCUCCAAAUUACUUGCAUCUAGUCCAAAUAAAUUUAACAAUAUCAAUAAUUGUUAAAGAAACAAUAUUUACUAAAAAUUAUAAUAUUUCCUAAAUUUUCUCAAAAAAGUUAAAACUCGACCCCAGGCCCACAUGGUCAAAACUCGAGGUUUGAACCAAAACCUUGUUACCCAUUCACAUACGAGCCCAUAUGUGCAAUGAGUAUCGAAAUACGUUCCCAAAAUGAGGUCUAAAUUUUAAUUAUUCAAAAACCUCUAAUUCUACCCAAAUCCCUAAUUUCUACCAUGGAAGAACAAUAUUUAAUCCUAGAAAUCUAAUGGGUGUUGAUGGAAAAUGAAUGAGAUGAGUUUAAGAAGACAUACCGAUGAUUUGGAUUUGAAAUUGCUCUUCAAAAAUCGCCUAGGUUCUGAUUUUAGGGAAGGAGAUACGAGAAAAUGGCUAAAUUACAAUUCUAGUUCUUUUUUUUACUCACCGCCUUUGCGUUCGCGGGCUAGUGUCCGUGUUGCACAGAAAAAAGUCCCUUUCCCUAGUACCGACCAAAAAGGCCUUCGCCUUUGCGAUGGCAGGUCCUCAUUCACGAAAGGUAGCACCCCUAAGUCUUCGCAUUCACGAACUGUGUCUUGCGUUCCCAUGGAAGGAAUUUUCCUUCAGUCACACUUUGCUCUUCACGAUUGCGAGAGUUCCUUCGCGAAUGCAAAGAAGGAAUUACCUAGGCACCUGCAACAACUACGACAGCAGAAAUUCUAAGUUUCAAAAAACCCGAAAACCUCUUUGAAACUCACCAUAGUCCUCGGGAUCUAAACCAAACAUGUAUGCAAGUCUAAAAGUAUCAUACGGACUUGCUCGUGCGAUCAAAUCAUGAAAAUAACAUGUAAUACUAUGAAUUAAAUCUCACAACUCAUCAUUUUUCUCAAGAACACUGAAAGUUCAUUAUUUCCCAACCAGACGUCCAAAUCACGUCAAAUAUGCUCCAUUUUCACCAAAAUUCACAGUUAUCAUUUAAAUACUAUAACAAGUUUGUAUCGAGUUUUGAAAUCAAAAUAUGGGCCCGAUACUAAUUGUUUCACAUAUUAGUUCUUUUCUUUAUUUCACAAAUAAUUCAGUUUUAUUUCAAAAAUUAAUUUCAAAGACUUUCGACUUUGGAGUUCAUUUUCGGGUAUACGCCCAAGUCCCAUAUUUUACAGCGGACCUCCCGGGAUCGUCGAAAUACAGAUCUGGAUCCGUUUGCUCAAAAUGUUAACCAAAGUCAACCAUAAUUAAAUUUUAACUCUAGAAAUUUCUUUCUCAUAUUUUGACAUAAAAGAUUUCCAUAUAUACAUCCAGACCAUGCACACAAAUCGAGGUAAGUUAAAAGGAGGUUUUAGUGCCUCGUAACACAUAAUUUAUUUCUAAAAUAAGUGAUGACCUUUUGGGUCAUCAAAAUCAUACACCAAUAGCCAACAACAGUUCAUAAUAUAAAACAAUAAUAAACGAACUAACUUGGAAUUGAAAAUGCUCAGCUUACUCAUAAUUUCUAAAAAUAGUUCCGCUUUUCAAAUAUAACAGUGAAAACCCAAAUCCUUUGCCAAAAUCAUCAAAAAUAUGAGUAAGUUUGAAAUUUGAAAUUUUUCCCAAAAACCUUUCAUCAGGUAAAUAUUUCAUUUUCGGAUGGCAUGAGGAAAAUAUUUCUCAAUGACUACAUGUCAAGAUACAUGUAAAAUCAUGAAUAUCACCAAAAUCGGGAAACUAAAGGAAAUGCAUCUUUAUGUAUGCAUCACAAGUAUGCAUGUCAAAUGUAAUGCCUCUAAGUGAUGAGCUCAUGUAAUCACACUCUUAGAGUAGUCAACCUGACUAUCUCACAUUAUCUCUUAUCAUGCUCGAUUGUAGUGAAUCGACUGGUCAUUUCUAGCUCUAGCGCAUUGUUCAGUAGCUUAAGGCCAUGAACAGUUUCUCUUCAAGUAUUAUGACUUAUACGCUAGUCGUAAUUGAGAUUCACGAAUUCCGUAGUUGAAUUGGUAAGAGAAUUCUCAUUUCAGAAGCUUAAAGUUGGAAGCACCGGGUUGAGUUUUUCCUGAGGUACUAUUGCUCACUACUACUAUUUACACAAAAAUGAAAAGAAAAAUAGACUCAAACUCAUAAGAAGGUUGUCAUGCCAUAUAUCACCGAGAAGAUCCACCCGGUUCACACAGACUCCACUUUUGGAAAGAACAGUGGCAUUAAGAAAACCAAAGGCUAUAAUCAGAAAAAACUUCUUAAAUAAGAAGCUACGAACCGAAAAAGAAGCCACUAAAUGAAAUAAGAAGCUAUACUAUUAAGGAAAAAUGCAAAACAAGUUAUGAAGUAAAAUGUGAAAAGUAACUAAAUAUAUACAAUAGGGUAUUUGCACGAAUAUAUAUAUGACGAAAUUAAUAUAUACAUGAGAGCGUAACUUUAUAUAUUGAACAAGAUUGAAAAAUAACCAAUAGUGAAAUAAAUGUUAAAGUUAUAUACAUACCAAAAGUGAAAAAUAAGCAUGAAGAAAAAAAAUAGUAUCAUCACUACAAACCAACUACCAAAUCAUCAAAGUAGGACCACCCCCUCAAAUGAAAACUACCAUUGUCCUCAAUGCUAACUAACUAAAAAUAAGAUAAAAAAGAAGGGUAGAGAGUAAAGAAACCUCCUUAUGGGUCCUUUGUCUUCAUGGGGUCCUGUGGCUGGGUCCCUAAAUCACCUGGCUGGGGGGCCUGUGUCUGGCCAGAGGCACCUCCCUCAGGAUACUCAAGCUCAAUCUCUACAUCAUCAACCGGGGCAUCACUCUCAUCCUCCUAGGCUCACCCUAAGACUCAUGUUCCUGAACAUGCUCUGCCUUACCUGCUGGAAAUGGAUCCUCCAAUAAAAGCUCUAAAGGAAAGUCACCAACUGGCUUAAUCUUCUCCAUUGAAUACCAGGUAUUCAUUGAUCGUCUUCCCAUAAAACGUGAUGUUCAAGUUUCACACCUUAGUCACUUUUGUGCCCUUUUUUAUAUGGGAGGCGUUGGCAUAGAAUUCCUUGACUUGAUGCUCUUUAGCAUCUGGCACCUUGCUAGUGAAGUUCUCCCAUUCCACUUGUUCAUUGAAAUGCUGCUCCAUAUUAGGAUUGCGAGGUAGAAGAUAUUGCUAUAUGAAAUGGUGCUCAUUAAUGAGUGACUAUUGAGGCCACCACUGCCUGAAAUUAUAGUAUGCUAACUCAGUGAUGAUCCUAUGUUGCAACUCCUCCAGGUUUAUGGUCCAUUACACACCUAGAGAGGACUCUGCUUUCCUCUUUUGUUUCUCACAGCCACCUCUACGUUUAGCCAUUGUCUACAAACACAUUCAGUGGAAGAGAGUGUUACUACUGGUGUUAGAAAAGUUAGUGAAGAAAAAUGGAAGAACAACACACAGUGCAUGGAAAAAAAUUACAGAUCGCUGACAACGAAAAUGAAGCACGAACGCGAAAUGAUCACUGCUGAACGUGGAAAAUGCAUCGUGGCCGUGGAGAUGAGGGAAUUAGACUACCCACCCUCUAAAUCAAUUGCAUCGCUAAGCGCAGUAACUUGAGUGUGGUCGUGGUGGUUAACUACGAAAACUCAAUCGCGACUGCGGACCCUUAUUUUUACUUCUCUGAACUUGAGCACCGUGGACCACGAGAAAAGCACCGCGGCCUUGGAGAGGCACCACUGUCACUGAAACUUGGUGGUGCUGACCGUGGUUAAUAGUACUUCCUACUUAGAUAAAACUUAUAAACGUUGACCGCAAAAGCCAAAAUCGAGCUCAUCAAACCUGUGGUUUUAGAUUUUCAUGCAUUUAGUAAUCUCCUCUACAUUUUAAACCUCAUUAGGUAUUCAUUAUUAACUAAUAACUAUAUUAAGCCUAUUUUAAUUAAAAUUAAGGAGCCCUAAGUUAAAAUUAAAAGAAAAAGAGAAAGACAAAGCAAAAACUAACAAAUAAAAGGAAAGCAAGAACAAAUUGAAUAAAAUUAUAAAAUAAAUUUACCAGUUGAUUGAUGAGUGAUGGGAGGUGGACUUCUAAAUUGUGGUUUGUGCAUCUUAGGGCUUGAAUGAACUGUGAAAUAUUAGGUUUGAGAGAGAAAAGAUCGAAAUGUGUGCAAAACUUCAUGAUCUUCUAUUUAUAGAAAACAUACUGGGCCCACGAAACUUACUUGGCGCGGUUGCAGUAGAUCAUUGUGGACUGCGCUGAAGACACAUAGAAAGGAUAUAUUACUUACCCUGCCCUCGAGAGCAGAAAAUGCACUGAGGUAGUGGAAGGCCAUCGCUGAUCGGGAAAAAAACACACCGCGGGCAUAAAUGAAACUUCAGAGAAGCCUCAUUUUGGACUUCCCAAUCUCGCAUCCGCCAUCAAAUUCCGCUUCCGUGAUAAGUCCACCGCUAAUAGUGGAAAAUGGAACAUUGUCAGAGGUCCAACUUCAGAAUGUUGUAAACAAUAAUUUCCCACUUAGUCCUGCAUAGUAUUAAAUAUUCUUACCUACAUCUCACAACCAGUAAGUUCAAAAUAAAGCCUACACUAAGAAGAAAAUCAAAAAGAAGAAAAAAACACAUGGGUUGUUUCCCAUGAAGCUCCUGAUUUAAUGGCGCGGCACGAUAGAGGUUACCAUCACUCACUUGAGAUGGAUCAUUUCCACCACGUGACCAUCACUAAAAUUUCCAAGAUAGUGCUUCAUCCUGUGCCUAUUAAUUCUAAAUAUUUCAAAUUUUUUGUUUUCAAAUAAAGAGCACCAAAUGGAGUCACAAGCACCACUUCAAAAGGUCCACUCCAUUUUGACUUGCCGAGAACAAUCAUAACCGGCAGUUGAAUUAAAGAACCAUAUCACCCACUUUGAAUUUCUUGCUACGGGCAUACUUGUCAUUUAAGUAUUUUAUCUUGUCCUUAUACAAGGACGAGCUCGAAUAGGCAUGAAAUCGAAACUCAUCAAGAUCUAUUAGUUGCUCCACCUAGAGAUUUGUUGCAGCAUCCCAUUCAAGAUUUAACUUUCUUAAAGGGCAACAUGGCCUUGUGCUCUAACUCAACUUGGAGAUGGCAGGUGUUCCCAAACACCAACAAGUACGGAGACAUACCAAUCAGAGUCUUGUAAGUAGUCCUGUAACCCACAAAGCAUCAUCUAGCUUAUUUGACUAGUCAAUCGUAUUUGUACUAAAUGGCUUAGACAAUAUGCUCUUUGUCUCCCUAUUGAAGACCUCAACUUGCCCACUAGGUUAUUGAUGGCAAAGUGUCGAAACCUUGUGAUUGACACCAUACAUUACAAGCAAAGUGUCAAAUGCCUUAUUGAAGAAAUGAGACCUCCUAGCACUGAUGAUUGCUCUAGAAGUGCCAAACCGAGUAAAGAUACUCUUAUCAAGAAAAACCACCACACUCUAGGCCUCGUUGUUGGGUUAAGCCACGGCCUAAAUCCACUUGGAAACAUAAUAAUAAACCACUAGAAUGUACAUAUUGCCACAAGAACUUACAAACGGACCCAUGAAGCCAAUGCCACUCAUCAAAUAUGUCAACCUCAAGAAUAGUGGUGAGAGGCAUUUCAUUCUUGUUAGAAAUUCCACUUGCUCUCUGACACUCAUCACACUUCUUCACAAGCUUAUUCGUCUCCCUGUUUAAUGUAGGGCAAUAAAAACAACAACUAAGAACCUUUGAAACUGUCCUUGCCCCGCCAUGAUAACCACCAUAGAGAGAGCAAUUACAAGCAUCCAGAAUACUCAUUUGCUCCUCUUCCGGAACGCAUCUCCAGAUCACACCAUCAUUACAAAUUUUGAACAAGUAAGGCUCAUCCCAGUAAUAUUCCAAGCUAUCUCGUUUAAGCUUCUUCCUUUGGUUAGAAGAGAGCUCAUACGGAACAAUACCAAUCAUAAGAAAGUUGACAACAUCAACAAACCAAGGCUUGCUAUUCGCAGAUAUAGAGAGGAGUUGUUCAUCAGGGAAUGAAUCAUUAAUUUCAAGGCCAUCACGAGGCCUCCCCUAUUCCUCCAAGCGGGACAAGUGGUCUGCCACUUGGUUUUCACUCCCUUUCUGAUCAAUAAUAUCAAGCUCAAACUCUUUAAGCAAUAGAAUCCAUCUCAUCAACCGGGCCUUAGAAUCCUUCUUUGUCAUUAACUAGUGGAGUGCUACAUGGUAAGUGUGAAUUAUCACGUUGGCACCCAUGAGAUAAGGUUUAAACUUUUCCAUUGCAAACACAAUUGGUAGAAACUCUUUUUCUGUCACCGUGUAAUUCACUUGAGCAUCAUUCAUUUUUUUGCUUGGAUAAUACACCAGGUGAAACAUCUUAUUUACUCUUUAACCCAAGACCGCUCCUACAGCAACAUCACUUGUGUUACACAUGAGCUCAAAAGGUAAUCUCAAAUUGGGUGCGGUGACAAUGGGAGUGGUUGUCAUUUUUUUCCUGGGAAGUUCAAAAGAUGUCAUGCAUCCCUUAUUAAACACGAACUUUGCAACCUUUUCCAAUAACUUGCACAAAGAAUUAACUACCUUAGAGAAGUGUUUGAUAAAUCUUUAGUAGAACCCCGCAUGUCCAAGUAAACUCCUAACCCCCUUGACUGAGGUAGGAGGAGGAAGCUUUGAAAUCAUUAUAAUCUCAGCCUUGUCCACUUAUAUUCCAUUCUUUGAGAUCAUAUGGCCGAGGACAAUUCCCUCCUUGAUGAUGAAGUGGCAUUUUUCUCAGUUGAGCACAAGAUUUAUCUCUUCACGUUGGGGCAACACUUUUUCAAGAUUCUUCAAACACUCAUCAAUGGAGUCACCCAUAACAUUGAAAUCAUCCAUGAAUAGUUCCAAGAAAUCCUCCACCAUGUCGGUAAAUAUAGCCAUCAUACACCGCUGGAAGGUAGCCGGCAUAUUAUACAAAUAAAAUGGCAUUCUACAAAAUACAAAGGUGUCAUACGGACAUGUGAAUGUGGUUUUCCCAGCAAGUCUAUCUAGAAUUAGGUCAAGAAAGCACAAUGGAAAAUGAUCCGUGGGGGUCACUUUAUUCAGCUUUUGGUAGUCCAUGAACACCCUCCAUCCAGUGACAGUCCUAGUGGGAUUAAACUUAUUUUUCUCAUUGAUAAUUGUAGUCAUACCACCCUUCUUCAGCAUAUAUUGCACUGGUGGAGUCCAAGAACUAUCUGAGAUGGGGUACAAAACCCCUACAUCAAGCCACUUAAUCACCUCCUUUUUGACAACCUCUUGCAUAGCGUUGUUCAACCUCCUUUGAUGUUGCUCGGUGGGCUUGGCAUCAUCUUCAAGUAUAAUAUGCAAAAGGUGGGGCUUAUCCCACGAAUACCAUCUAGAGUCCAUCCAAUUUCCUUCUUCAAUUAUUGAAGCACCACUAAUGUGGCGUCUACCUAUAUGUUAGUAAGACAAAAAGAAACAAUAACAGGAAAAGUUGAAAGUGGGCUCAAGAAUAAUACCUGAGGUGUGAGGGCAAUGUCUUUAAAACCAAAGCGGCAGGUUCCUCAAUUGAGAGCAUUGUUGUCCUAGUCUUUCUGUUCUCAAGAUCAAAAGAGAGCUUACGAGGCUCAUAAGAGUAAGAGCCCAUUUUUUGCAAAGCAUUAACACAAUCCACACUGCCUUCAUCCUCAUUAAUAUCAAGGUUUAAUAAUACCGCUUCUAAUGGAUCCUCCACAUUGAUCAUGGCACUAGUAUCAUCAAUUACCUCCUCCAUGAUAAGAUCCACAAAAGAGAACACUUUAAUACUAUUCUACUUCUUCAUUUAUUUGCACACAUGAAAGACCACGUUUUCAUUACUCACCCUUACAGUGAGCUCCCCUGAUUCCACAUCAACCAAUUCAUUCCCAGUUGCAAUGAAAGGUCCUCCCAAAAUUAUAAAUAUCUCAUAGUCGACUUCACAGUAAAUAAUCACAAAAUCAGUAGGCAAGAUAAACUUGUCCACUUGGACGAGAUCAUCAUCAAUAAUACAAAGUGACCUUUUCAUAUUUCUAUCCGCCAUUUGCAAUCUCAUUGAAGUAGCUCACGGUUGACUAACACCCACAGUUUUUAACAUGCAGGCAUCAAAUUGAUACUUACUCCCAAACCACACAAUGCCUUUGCAAAAUCCACACUUCCAAUGGUACAUGGAAUAGUGAAAGCACCAGGAUCUUCAAGCUUUGGAUCCAUAGGGUGCACAAUUGAACUUACUUGAUGAGUCAUUUUGAGAGUCUCACAAUUCAUGGAUAUCUUUCUAGUCACAAGUAUUCAUGAACUUGGCAUAACCCAUCAUUUUCUCAAGAGCUUCCACCAAAAGAACAUUGAUUGAAAAGUUUGACAUCAUCUCAAUAAACUUCUUAAAUUGGUUUUCACUCUUUUUCUUUGCAAGCCUUUGAGUGUAAGGUGGAAGAGGCCUUGGCAAGGAGACUUUGCCUUGGGCACUACCAUUUUCGAUAUGUCUAUUAUGUAUUCCCUAUACCGGUUCACAUCAUCUUGAGUCUCCACCUUAUUAUCAUAAACAUCAAUCCUCACUCGCGCAUUCAAAUUCUCUUCACUUCUCAUCAACCAUCAUCAUCUUGCACUUCAAGCUCAUCACUCACAAGUUUCUUUGGUUGGAGGUAUUCAUAUCACCACCUCGACUGCUUCUAGUAAUCACCACCAUUGUAUGAAUGGUGUUGUUCUCACCCUCCGUGUUUACCAUCGUAUCACUAAAUACAGCCCCAUUAGGGCGAGAAUCAAAGAUUGCAAAAUCAGGCCAUAUUGAACCUCCAAAUUUUGAUUGAAGUAUUGUGGAAUGCCAACUAGGCAUCAGAGUCGGUGUUCUUUUUCAUCAUUUAUUCAAACAUUAUAUCGAUCCUUCUCAUCUCAUUGUUUGACAAUCUAGGACCUUGGGAAGGAAAUGAAGGUGGGUUGUUUGUUUUUUGACACACUGGAGGUAUUUAAAAGCCUUUCCUCUAAUUCCCUUGGUUGCUAUUAUUCCAAACCCCUUGGUUGUUGUGUUCGCCCCAAUUGUUAUUGUUUCCACUCCAGUUGCCCUAGUUUUUCUGAUUACCCUAAUUAUGAAUGUUGUCCCCCCCCCNNNNNNNNNNNNNNNNNNNNNNNNNNNNNNNNNNNNNNNNNNNNNNNNNNNNNNNNNNNNNNNNNNNNNNNNNNNNNNNNNNNNNNNNNNNNNNNNNNNNNNNNNNNNNNNNNNNNNNNNNNNNNNNNNNNNNNNNNNNNNNNNNNNNNNNNNNNNNNNNNNNNNNNNNNNNNNNNNNNNNNNNNNNNNNNNNNNNNNNNNNNNNNNNNNNNNNNNNNNNNNNNNNNNNNNNNNNNNNNNNNNNNNNNNNNNNNNNNNNNNNNNNNNNNNNNNNNNNNNNNNNNNNNNNNNNNNNNNNNNNNNNNNNNNNNNNNNNNNNNNNNNNNNNNNNNNNNNNNNNNNNNNNNNNNNNNNNNNNNNNNNNNNNNNNNNNNNNNNNNNNNNNNNNNNNNNNNNNNNNNNNNNNNNNNNNNNNNNNNNNNNNNNNNNNNNCCCCCCCCGGUCGCUAUUUUCUUAUUGGUUUUGAUUACCCCAAUUUCCUUGGGAUCUGCACUGUUAUUGUUGGUUAGGAGCAUUGCCCAUUAGUCCAUGGUAGUUGUUAACAUUAUAGACCUCUUGACUUCGCUCAUCAUAGCCAUGAUCUUAGUUGAAACUACCACUACCAUGUUCAUACUGAUGUGUACUACCUUGACCUUGUUGACCUCUUUGUCGCCUAUUGUUGAACAACAUGUUGACAUAUUCCAUAGUAUAUACUUGUCUCGACACUUGAACUUGUUGCAAUUGAACUUUUCCUAACUGGCUCACUGUUGUAGUUAACUCUGCUAUUGCCUGACCAUGGUCAUGGAGCUCUUUGUGUAGGUGAAUGAUAGUGGGGUCACCCUGUGGCACAUUAGCUCAACUUUUCCAAGUUGGUGAAGUAUUUGUCAUGUCAUCCAAUAUCUGACACCCCUCAGCAUAAGGUGUGUUCAUAAAAGUUUCCCUGCUAGCUAUUUCACUAUACACUGAUUGGUCAUGUCAAUGCCAUGUUAAAAAGUAUGUGGGAUUAUUGUUUCGGUCAUGUCAUCAUUUGAACAUUCUUUCACCAUUAUCUAAUAUCUCUCCCAAAUCUCAUAAAGUGGUUCAUUAGAUUCCUUUAUAAAGGCCAAAAUCUCAUCUCUUAAAGUCACCAUAUGCCCUCGCAAGAGAAACAUAGCUAUAAAAUUGUCAGCUAACUCAUUCCACGUAGUGAUGGAAUGGUUGGGAAGCCUUUUGAAUCAGUCUAAAGCUUUCCCUCAAAGUGAAAAAAGGAACAAUCUCAAUCUCAAUGCAUCCUCCAACACAUUGGUCUGUUUGCUUCGCCAUCAAGUAUCUACAAAGCCUUUAAGUUGUUUAUAUGCAUUCUGAUAGGGAGAGCCUAUAAAAUACCCUCACUGCUCAAAUUAAGUCAACAUCACAUUUGUAAAUUGAAAAUUGCCCGCCCUGGUCUGAGGUGGGACAAUUGCACUUACGUAUCCUUUAUAUGGAAGUCAUGACCGCUUUAGUGGUGGACCAUCCACGUCCGUGGUUGUUUCUUCGCUGUCAGCUCUCUUUUGACCAAGCUUUUGAACUUGUGUAGGUUUCACUCCUUUUUAAGCUGGUUAUCUCUUUUUGACCAAACAUAGCAAACAAGUACAGUAAGUUAGCUUUUAGGAAUACGUGUACCCACUUUUAAUCCAAAACUUAAGCAGAAUGUAGAAUAAAAUAGGCUAGAAUCCCUACUUAUCACUUUCUUCAGCAGAUAGAGAUUCAGGAGUGGAAGUGUGAACGGAUCACCAUGGUCUUCAUAGUUGGACUCACACGGACUUUGAGGAUGUUUGAUGCCCUUUGGGUUAUUGUGCAUUGGCUGACAAAGUCCGUUCACUUCAUUCCUGAGUGUACUACUUAUUCUUCAGAGCGAUUGACUGAGAUUUAUAUCCAGGAGAUUGUUCCUCUCCAUGGUAUUCUAGUUUCCAUCAUUUAAGAUAGAGGUACUCAGUUCACAUCACGGUUCUGAAGGACUGUAUAGCAUACGUUGGGUACCCGGGUAGAGUUGAGCACAAGAUUUCACCCCUAGAUGGAUGGAUAGUUCGAGUGCACACUAUUCAGAUUCUUAAGGAUACAUCCAUGUGUGUGUGAUAGAUUUUGGAGGUUCUUGGAAUCAAUUCUUACCAUUUGCAAAGUUUGCCUACAAUAACAGUUACCAAUCUAGCAUUCAGAUGGUACCAUAUGUGGCUCUAUGUGGUAGGCAAUGUAAAUCCCCGAUGGGUUGGUUCGAGCUAGGCAAGGCUAGAUUAUUGGGCACAAACAUGGUUCAAUACGCUUUGGAGAAGGUUAAGGUGAUUCAGGAUAGAACUCGCACAACCUAGUCCAAAUAGAAGAGUUAUGCAGAUCGGAAGGUUCGUGAUAUUUCAUUUAUGGUUAGCAAGGGGGUCUUGCUUCAGGUCUCGCCUAUAAAGAGUGUUAUUAGAUUUGGAAAGAAGGGAAAAUUUUGUCCAUGGUUUAUUGGUCCCUUUGAGGUAUAGGGGGAGGUUGCUUAUGAGCUUGUGUGACCUCCCAGCUAGGUAGGAGUAUGUCUGGUAUUUCAUGUUUUGAUGCUUCCGAGAUAUCACGGUGACCCAUCGCACGUGUUGGAUUUCAAUAGAUUUCAGCAGGACAAAGAUCUAUCUUAUGUUGACAUGCCGGUCGUUUUUAGAACUAACACCCCGAUCUCCUAUUAACUGCUUUCCCGCUUUUAUUUAUGCUAUUGUGAUUUGCCGGGAUAAUUCAUUUUGAUUUUCUAAGUGUUUUGGGGCACUUAGUCCCUAGAUGAGAGUGUAAGCUUUAAAAUUUGGACUGUAAUUGGAGCAGUGCGAAAGCAUCUCUGAAAUGGAAUUUUGUCAAUUCCGCUUGCAUUGUCGGGACAUUCAGGCUUAGGGCCAUGUAUGGAUUGUAUUUUGGAGGUCUCGAUAGUGAAAUUUUAAUAUCGAGGUCGAAAUCCAAUUCUGAAAGUUAUGAUAGGUUUGUAUUGUUAAACGUGACUUGUGUGCAAAAUUUGGGUCUAUCAGACGUGAUUUGGUUGGUUUCUACGUCAGUUGUAGAAUUUUGAAAUUUCAAGUUCAUUAAAUUUUGAUUGUACGAUGAUUUGUAGUUUUAGCAUUGUUUGAUCUGAUUUUAGGGCUCGACUAACUUCGCAUGGUGUUUUAGGAUUGCUUGGUAUGUUUGGUUGAGGUCCCCGAGACCUCGGGUGUUUUUGGAAUGCUUACUGAGUCAUUUUUGUACUUAGAAGGAUAGCCAAUUUUGCUGGUUUUUCUGUUGCAGACAUUUGUCCUUCACGUUCGCGAAUAGGAGAUCGUGUUCACAAAAGUUAUAAGUGGAAACAUCACGAAUCCAAGGAGCUGAGCACGUUCGCAAAAAGGAAAGGCAGAGCAGCAGGGAGCUUAGAAAGUUGCUAUAUGCGCUCACGAGUAAGGGGUCGCAUUUGCAAAGGUUCUGCAGUUAAGCUAUGCGUUCACGAUUGGACCCUCGUGUUCACGAAGAGGAAUUUGGCCCAAUGGGAUUUUUGUUCAUCGUGUUCGUGAAGAAAAACACAUAUGGGCAGAAUUUAAAUUUAAAAAUUAAAGGUUUGAGUUCAUAACUCAAUACAUGGAGAGCUCGGUCAGAGGCGAGAUUUGGAGAUAUUUUUGGAGGAAGUGUGUGGGU